This is a long non-coding RNA of Oncorhynchus tshawytscha (Chinook salmon), 1081 nucleotides long. Lineage: Eukaryota; Metazoa; Chordata; Actinopteri; Salmoniformes; Salmonidae. The record is from Ensembl.
GAAAAGCGGCGGAAGAAGGCAACCGAGUGGAGAAGCAUGAGAGAGAAGAAAGCGAGGGAGGAGUGUUGGAGAAGAAGACGGUGGAAGAGCAAGUGGACUGGGGGGAAAGUGCCCUGGUGGAAGAGAUGAGGGGUAUGGUGGAGGAGCUGGCGGGGGGGGGGGGUGGUGUCUCUCCACUGCCGCCAUCACCAAAGAAGAGAAUGAAGAGGAGGGUGCGAUUGGCCGACAGUGAGAGGGAGGGGAUGGCCAAGAGAGUGAUGGGGGUGGGAGAAACCUCUGGGUUGCUGCUGGUUUCCCCAGGCCCUCAACUUCUGUUGGGUGGGGACACACCUAACAAGACUCAAGACUGGGUACAGGAGGAGGUGGGGAGUUUUUUGUUUGGGGACUCAGCCUCCCGAUUUUUUUCCAAACCAGCUGCAGCACUGGGGAGGGGGAGGAGUGUGGGGGUAGACCCAGGGUGCAGGGCACCCCGGAGCCAAACACUAUUCCUGCAUCCUGGGUUGAUGAGAUGGAGGAAGAGGGGGGGAUGUCGGGAGUACAGAUGGUGUUCUCACCGGUAGAUAUGGAGCAGGGGAGCAUCGGGUGAGUCUCCUGUUUUUGUUUUUUUCUGUCUGGGUUUAGAAUUUGAGUGUAUUACAUGUUUUUAUUUUAUUAUUUCAUGGGGUCUAAUUUUACUUUUGUUAGUUUAAAUGUAAGGGGUUUAAGGGAUUUUGUUAAGAGGAGGGCGGUUUUUAGUUAUUUGGAGGGUGUGGGGUUUGAUUUUUGUUUUUUACAGGAGGUUCACCUGAGGGAUGGAGGGGAUGUUAGUAAGUUUAAGAGGGAGUGGGACAAGGGGGAGUCGGUUUGGGGUAUUGGGGGGGUGCACUCAUCGGGGGUAGGGAUUUUGUGUGGGCACAGGGAGGUAAAAGUGGAGGAUUCUUUUGUGGUAAUGCAGGGGAGGGUUAUAGGGGUGGAUGUCACGAUAAGGGAUUGUAAAUUUAGAUUAGUGGUGGUGUAUGGGCCACAGGUGGUGGCAGACAGGAGGGAGAUGGUGGACUGUCUGACGCCCCUGUGUGUCACAAAUAGGAAAUUAGUGAUAGGG